GGGACCCGGCGUUGCAGAUCUGGACAACGGCGCGGAGAGACACGGCGGUUACAGGUUCACGCGGCGGCCUUGGCUUCGACGGAGACAGAGAUGGCGGCCGACAGUUGCAGCGGCGGUUUUGGAUCGAAGAAGAAAAAGAAAGAGUGGCGGUUGGGUUCGGCUUUGGUGAACGGAGAAAGGAACAGACGAACCUGGUGGACGGCUCGAUCUGCCGGAGGUGCGAUGGCGUGGCAGCUGUAACUGGUGAACGGGGAAGAAGAACGUGCG
RNAcentral lists this long non-coding RNA (267 nucleotides) under Cucumis sativus (cucumber). RNAcentral's name for it is "long non-coding RNA (CSAT_LNC003045)". Lineage: Eukaryota; Viridiplantae; Streptophyta; Magnoliopsida; Cucurbitales; Cucurbitaceae. The record is from RNAcentral.